Paramuricea clavata is the source of this 551-nucleotide non-coding RNA. NCBI's taxonomy places the organism in Eukaryota, Metazoa, Cnidaria, Anthozoa, Malacalcyonacea, Plexauridae. The record is from the annotation of a GenBank genome assembly.
UGCUAUUCCAACACCUCACGACAAGCAAUCCCCAUUGGCAUAACGGCAAAAACAUGUCUUCCUUCAAGUAAACAAUAAACAGUCUGUUCUUGUUCCAUUUGUAAUCGAAAAUAGUGAUCAAUUUUCAAAUUUUAAGCUUAUCGAGAGCCUUUGUCUAUGCCUUUGUGAUGAAUCACUGUUCCCUUGGGCCUGCACGCUAGGUUAAUUAAUUACCGAUCGCCUAAGCUAGCCAAUGGGAAUUUAGCCGGCGGUUCGGCCGGCGAAAAUCGAAAACAUGGGGUGAUGGUUGCAGGCCCACUAUCAGUUGAUCCAGUUCCCUUGGGCCUGCACGCAGGCUACGUCUCGUUUACCAACGAUUUUUCUUGAAACUCAUCUAUUCAAUAUGCAUUCUCCGCCUGAACAUGUGCGGGUUGAGCGGAUGUUUACAAAAACACUUUCGUGAAUAAACCAAGACAACUGACAAAAAAACCCAACUUGAAUUAACUGCCUUUUAGGUAGAUCUGGCGCGACAGGUAUAAAUGGCAGUAUUCCCACGUGUUUCCUUUACUACG